UACGUAGGGUGCAAGCGUUGUCCGGAAUUAUUGGGCGUAAAGAGCUCGUAGGCGGUCUGUCGCGUCUGCUGUGAAAACUCAGGGCUUAACCCUGAGCUUGCAGUGGGUACGGGCAGACUAGAGUGCGGGUAGGGGGAGACUGGAAUUCCUGGUGUAGCGGUGAAAUGCGCAGAUAUCAGGAGGGAACACCGGGUGGCGAAGGCGGGGUCUCUGGGCCGUAACUGACGCUGGAGGAGCGAAAGCAUGGGGAGCGAACAGGAUUAGACUAC
Molecule: ribosomal RNA, 269 nt
Filed under: uncultured bacterium
Lineage: Bacteria
Description: partial 16S ribosomal RNA
Rfam family: Bacterial small subunit ribosomal RNA
Source: RNAcentral